CUUCCGUCAGCCGCCGCAACAAUCCCUUCCCGCAGAUGUGCACGACCUACCCUUCCCCGGCCAGCCGCCGCCAACCAUGCUUGCCUCCGGCCAGCCGCCCCUGCUGACCCUGCCGCCCUCAUCGCCGGCGGUCCCCGGUAAGCACCUCUCCAGAGAUGCGGGAUCAAGCCGCCGCCACCAUGGAUUCAGCCGCCACGCCCCAAUCGAUGGUCCUCAUGGCCAGCCACCGCCGGUGACUUACACCGCCACGCCCAAUGCCCCCCUGCCAGUCACGGCCGCUCCACAGAUGAGCAUUAAUUCCACCAUAUUCCUUCGUCUUCCCCGCUUUUAUGUCACAAACUCUUCCACCUCCAUGCCACAAAUGCAUAUGAAACGGCCUCGCAGCACUCAAUUUACGACCGUCAUUAUCUCCUGCUUCAUUACCCUGCAAAUGCGGAAAAGGUCGUGCUUAUAACCCCUCUGCCAUACGCAUCGACCACGAACGCCUGCUCACAUCCAUGUCUGGGAACCAACUGCAGCCGUACUAGGUUGUGCUAGGGAUGAAAGGAUGCUGAGCGUGUAGGUUUUUUGCUGCUCAGAUUGGCCACAUUGUAUCACAGAUUGCUCUCCGAAUCGAAAGGUGCUUCAACUUCUAUUUAGUAGGUCUCUUGCUCCUCGGAUUGCCUUCAUUUCAGUUUUGCAGCGGUCUCCUGCUUCUUACAUUGGUUCACGAAGCUACUGACCUUGAAAGAGUGGUGAUGCGAGUGAGAUUCUGAGAGAUUUCUCUCGGAUCAAAAGGAGCUCGACGUUAUGCUUCACAGAUCUCUUCCUGCUCGGACUGGAUUCAUUGCUUCAUAGGUAUCUUGCAGCUCGCAUUGGUACGAACACACUUACUGCUGAAUUUAGUUAGUUACACUUGAUGAGCAUAUGCACCUUCUAUUUAUUUCAGUGCAUAUUACAUAGUAAAAUACCAUAUAAAUUUCUUCCUCUUGAUUAUUCCAUUCUAUUUAUUUGUUCAAACAUAUUGGCUGCAAUCUACUUCAAGGCAUCCUGGUAGGCAUUUAGUCUUACGUAGUAAUGAGCACCCUCGCCGUCAAUCACAACAUGUUGUCACACCCUUAAAUUGAGGUCAGUUAGGAUAAUACAAAAGUAUUACCCUAAAGAUUUCUAUGAGUAAGCCACUAUUAGAGAAUGUUAUCCUCACAAUCUCCACUGAUGGUACGUACAAAUAUCUCUUCCAAGUAUAUGACAAAGGGAUUUGAUAGGCAGAUAAAAAAUGGAGUCUAAUGAUGGAUCAUCCGGUUCAUCAAGUGAAACAGUCAAUGAAAUAGAAAAUCAUCCAGAAUGUCGCUAUAUGACACCAAAUGAGAUUGUUUGGCGCUUGCCAGAGAGAAUGAAGAUUGAUUCAGUAUCCAGGUUCCCCGUAAGUUAUGUCAUAAAGAAAAGCUUCUCGGUUGACAAUGGCUAAUUUCUUUUCAUUCAAAAAGUAUGUUCUUCCUAAUUUUAACCAUAUUACCUACUACAUACAAAGUACUAACUUGAAACAUGAAAUACUUCCAGCCAUAUCCAUGCAAAGAAAUGAUGACCCAUCCAUCUUCGAAGAAUAUCGAGAGUGCGAUGACCCAUACACCAGAGGAUGCAAACAAUACUACACCUCCCUCUUGCCAACCCGCAACUAAUGUCAUUGAGAAAAAAAAUAGGUACUCUUUGGCUAAAAUGAGCAUUGAACUUUCAGAAGAUGAAACCACCAAAAAAGAGAUUAUUGUGCAUUUAGGACAUGCGAGGGAAAAAUGACAUUGUCAAGGUGCAUGCAAUCACAAGAAUAAUGCUGCACAAGUUAGCAACAUGAACGACAUAGAAGAGAUGCACCUACGAGCUACACUACUACCUUUCUACAUAAAAUUUAGUUACAUCCUUGCUUCAAUUGUAAUCCCGACAAACUCAUGUUAUUACUAUUUCCUAAUGACCCUAUGCAUAUUACCUAUGCAAUUAUUAA
Triticum dicoccoides is the source of this 1975-nucleotide long non-coding RNA. RefSeq lists it as uncharacterized. The record is from RefSeq and is a predicted model, not a curated record. Lineage: Eukaryota; Viridiplantae; Streptophyta; Magnoliopsida; Poales; Poaceae. The transcript is spliced from 7 exons.